AAAAACAAAGAUAGAAACGCAACGUAUGCAGAAAUGUAUACUAGAGCCGGUAGGUAGCCCGGCCGUCCUGAUUAUCAGGGUAAGUAACCUGCCCCUCCGGGUUGUCCGUUCUUUGUUCAUUUCAA
RNAcentral lists this non-coding RNA (125 nucleotides) under Lachnospiraceae bacterium 3-1. RNAcentral's name for it is "azaaromatic riboswitch aptamer (yjdF RNA)". It matches the Rfam family "azaaromatic riboswitch aptamer (yjdF RNA)". The record is from Rfam by way of RNAcentral. RNAcentral also lists the same sequence under 1 other name. Lineage: Bacteria; Bacillati; Bacillota; Clostridia; Lachnospirales; Lachnospiraceae.